UAUUAAAAUGUAGCCUUCUACCAAAAUUAC
This 30-nucleotide non-coding RNA is filed under the name Mus musculus (house mouse). The record is from RNAcentral. Lineage: Eukaryota; Metazoa; Chordata; Mammalia; Rodentia; Muridae.